GUAAUAUUGUGUAACCAGGGACAUAAUUUAUGAAAUGGUGUGCUUCCUGGUGAACCUCUUCAGGAUUGCUUGACUGUGCAAAAUCCAAGUAUACAAUAGUUGUAGAGACACAAGUCACAUGAUCUCUUUAAGGUUCAGAAGAGCCAUAUAGCAAAAACAAUUGAAUAGCGAUAUCAUUACAGACUGUGUAAAGAAAUGGGAAAUUGUCAUACAACUGCUUUGAAGAUUUCUUUAAUUUUUUCCAAACAAAAUUGUGAACAGUAAAAGAAUAUAUAUAUAUAUACAAAAUUCAGCACUGCCGUCGGUGUGGUGGGGGGCUUAAAACACGUUGCCACAGGCCAUCAUCAGCUCUGCUCUGCUCUGACCGGGUGAUGCCAUGCUCCUUCAGUGCUUUGAUCAAAUGCUGAAAAACAGUCAAAUAAUGUGAACAAUUGAAGUUAUGCAGUAUGGGUUAAUUGUUGUUCUUGAGCUUUCCAAAUGAAUAAGAACAACCUCUUAACAAUAUCAUCAAUUUUCAAAGCAAGCUAUAUAGUUUGAUCUACUCACCUCUGGGAGCAUGACGUCAAAAACGAAAUCAAGCAGAUGAAUCACAGAAAGUAAACACCUUUCAAAUGUAACACCCCUGAGAGUAAAAAUACUCAUGAUGGAUGGCAUUUUUA
Non-coding RNA from Xyrichtys novacula (pearly razorfish), 659 nucleotides. Lineage: Eukaryota; Metazoa; Chordata; Actinopteri; Labriformes; Labridae. The record is from the annotation of a GenBank genome assembly.